Non-coding RNA from Chrysemys picta bellii (western painted turtle), 1850 nucleotides. Lineage: Eukaryota; Metazoa; Chordata; Testudines; Emydidae. The record is from RefSeq and is a predicted model, not a curated record.
AACUUCGCCUCCAUUGAGAUCUCAACCAAACUGGAAGGCCCCUGGCUCUGACCUAGUUUUCUGUAUCACUGAUAGUAUUUCUCCUGACCAGGUGCUCCUCCGUUUUCUUAUCUGCCUUCUGUAUGUUUAAGCAAAGACUUCUAAGCUUGUAAUUCAGGGAGGCCAUUGUACCAGGACUACACACACGUGUGACAUCCUCCACUCCUUCCUCAGUUAACUUUAACGUGAUGUGCUAGGCUGUGAGCCCCUUGUGCCCAUUGGUGAGUAGUUACUGACAUGAGUAGCAGCUUCGAAUCCACUGAAUUGAGUAAGCAUUCACCAAUGGGAGUUGGGGCUCCAUGCAGCCUAACCCUAUGUAAUGAUUCAACACUUCUGUCUUCAAGUGAGCACACAUGCAAUGCUACCAUUUUCCUAAAGGGUACCCAGAUUGUCUUGGGGUAUCAUAGUGUUCCUGUUCUGCUGUUGGUAAUUUUGUCAGGACCAUAGAAUAAAGUAGAAAAUUGAAACUCUGUGAAAGAUCAACAAAUCCGUGCGGAAUGAUAGGCUCUAUCUCUUUCUUUGACUCUCCUUUCAAACCCCAAAUCUCCUGUUUUGAGAGUUUGGAGUGAUAAGAGCUUUAAAAGGAAUUCUAGCUGUUUGUUUCUUUGUGGUCUGAAAGCCUUGAAAAAGUACCAUUUGGAAUUAAAAUUUUAUAUUUGCAUGUUUCUAUAUUUUAGUUAUGGAACAAAUGGGAGUUUGCUGAAUGAAUUAAUUGUGUUCCAUUGUAAAAGUCUAUCACGAGAGCCAUUAUAUAUGGUAGCUUAGAAAGCCCUGCAGAGAGAAAUUAAAGUCACUUCCCUUUCUAAUCAGGGCUUUCAGGAAAUCGUUGAUUACAAAAUCUAAUACAAUUGCUCAGAGACAUUUGUUUGAUAUUACUUCUGAUAAGUGAAAUUUUUAUGUAAUUUCACCAGUGAGUCUGGAAGCAGCUACACUCUCUUUGAUGGCAAGACUGAUUUCACUAAAGCGCUUCCUCUUAUCCCUCUAAAGAAUUAUAGCUAACAAAACAUUAGUUCCAUACUGUAGGUCCAGUAUAGAAUUAAAAUUACCAUCAGGAAAUGGCUAAUAUAAUGGACAAUAUGUUGUUUAAAGGUGGAUUGAACAUCACAUUAAGUGUAAACUUACCCCACCUAACCUCCAUGAAGGAGCCAGCAAAAAAAUUAUGGCACAUUUUAAAGAUUCAUUGUUAUUCCUUUUCAACAGAGUCAGCAUAUUUCAUUAGCGCCCAUCCAAAAACUGGAGGAAGCUCUGUAUGAGUAUCAGCCACUGCAAGUCGAGACCUAUGGACCACAAGUUCCAGAAACUGAACUUCUAGGAAGGCUAGGAUAUCUAAACCAUGUCCGAGCCACCUCUCCACAGGAUCUUGCUGGGGGCUACACUUCCUCCCUGGCUUGUCACCGAGCCCUACAGGAUGCUUUCAGUGGGCUUUUCUGGCAUCCCAGCUAGCCUGCAUACACCGGCCUGUGAGCAGUGGGCACCGGACUGGAGCAAGGAGCAAGUCAAGCAAACCUCCAGUGAAACUGCUGCCAUCUGCACUAUCGUUAACCUGCUGUCACCUUUUUCAUAUAUAUAUAAAAUACUUAAGCACAGCUGGCUUUACUAAAGUUUUUUUUUUAAGUCUGCACAAGAGCUUUGUAAAGUGGUGGAUACAUUUUUGCGGAAGGGGAACUCUUUAGUCAUGUGGCACUUCGCUGAGAGGGGCUGAAGCAAUAAGCCACAUCUAAUGGAAGAUGUGAAUAAUUCAGCUAUGGAUGUUUGAGGUUUAAAAAAGAGACUUGUAAAUUUUUUAAAAUAAAACCAGACUUUUUAUUAAA